This 2938-nucleotide ribosomal RNA is filed under the name Serratia marcescens. RNAcentral describes it as "bacterial LSU rRNA". It matches the Rfam family "Bacterial large subunit ribosomal RNA". Lineage: Bacteria; Pseudomonadati; Pseudomonadota; Gammaproteobacteria; Enterobacterales; Yersiniaceae. The record is from RNAcentral.
GGGUUGUGAGGUUAAGUGACUAAGCGUACACGGUGGAUGCCUAGGCAGUCAGAGGCGAUGAAGGGCGUGCUAAUCUGCGAAAAGCGUCGGUAAGGUGAUAUGAACCGUUAUAACCGGCGAUACCCGAAUGGGGAAACCCAGUGUGUUUCGACACACUAUCAUGUCAUGAAUACAUAGUGGCAUGAGGCGAACCGGGGGAACUGAAACAUCUAAGUACCCCGAGGAAAAGAAAUCAACCGAGAUUCCCCCAGUAGCGGCGAGCGAACGGGGAGGAGCCCAGAACCUGAAUCGGCUUGUGUGUUAGUGGAAGCGUCUGGAAAGUCGCGCAGCAAAGGGUGAUAGCCCCGUACACUAAAAUGCACAGGUCGUGAGUUCGAUGAGUAGGGCGGGACACGUGACAUCCUGUCUGAAUAUGGGGGGACCAUCCUCCAAGGCUAAAUACUCCUGACUGACCGAUAGUGAACCAGUACCGUGAGGGAAAGGCGAAAAGAACCCCGGCGAGGGGAGUGAAAUAGAACCUGAAACCGUGUACGUACAAGCAGUGGGAGCACCUUCGUGGUGUGACUGCGUACCUUUUGUAUAAUGGGUCAGCGACUUAUAUUUUGUAGCAAGGUUAACCGUAUAGGGGAGCCGUAGGGAAACCGAGUCUUAACUGGGCGAAUAGUUGCAAGGUAUAGACCCGAAACCCGGUGAUCUAGCCAUGGGCAGGUUGAAGGUUGGGUAACACUAACUGGAGGACCGAACCGACUAAUGUUGAAAAAUUAGCGGAUGACUUGUGGCUGGGGGUGAAAGGCCAAUCAAACCGGGAGAUAGCUGGUUCUCCCCGAAAGCUAUUUAGGUAGCGCCUCGUGAACUCAUCUUCGGGGGUAGAGCACUGUUUCGGCUAGGGGGCCAUCCCGGCUUACCAAACCGAUGCAAACUCCGAAUACCGAAGAAUGUUAUCACGGGAGACACACGGCGGGUGCUAACGUCCGUCGUGAAGAGGGAAACAACCCAGACCGCCAGCUAAGGUCCCAAAGUCAUGGUUAAGUGGGAAACGAUGUGGGAAGGCAUAGACAGCCAGGAUGUUGGCUUAGAAGCAGCCAUCAUUUAAAGAAAGCGUAAUAGCUCACUGGUCGAGUCGGCCUGCGCGGAAGAUGUAACGGGGCUAAACCAUGCACCGAAGCUGCGGCAGCGACGCUUAGGCGUUGUUGGGUAGGGGAGCGUUCUGUAAGCCGUUGAAGGUGGCCUGUGAGGGUUGCUGGAGGUAUCAGAAGUGCGAAUGCUGACAUAAGUAACGAUAAAGCGGGUGAAAAGCCCGCUCGCCGGAAGACCAAGGGUUCCUGUCCAACGUUAAUCGGGGCAGGGUGAGUCGACCCCUAAGGCGAGGCUGAAAAGCGUAGUCGAUGGGAAACAGGUUAAUAUUCCUGUACUUGGUGUUACUGCGAAGGGGGGACGGAGAAGGCUAGGCUGGCCGGGCGACGGUUGUCCCGGUUUAAGCGUGUAGGGGGUGUGACCUGGUAAAUCCGGUUGCAUGUUAACCCUGAGGCGUGAUGACGAUGCACUACGGUGCAGAAGUAGUUGAUGCCCUGCUUCCAGGAAAAGCCUCUAAGCUCCAGGUAACAUUAAAUCGUACCCCAAACCGACACAGGUGGUCAGGUAGAGAAUACCAAGGCGCUUGAGAGAACUCGGGUGAAGGAACUAGGCAAAAUGGUGCCGUAACUUCGGGAGAAGGCACGCUGGCAUGUAGGUGAAGUCCCUUGCGGAUGGAGCUGAAGCCAGUCGAAGAUACCAGCUGGCUGCAACUGUUUAAUAAAAACACAGCACUGUGCAAACACGAAAGUGGACGUAUACGGUGUGACGCCUGCCCGGUGCUGGAAGGUUAAUUGAUGGGGUCAGCCGCAAGGCGAAGCUCUUGAUCGAAGCCCCAGUAAACGGCGGCCGUAACUAUAACGGUCCUAAGGUAGCGAAAUUCCUUGUCGGGUAAGUUCCGACCUGCACGAAUGGCGUAAUGAUGGCCAGGCUGUCUCCACCCGAGACUCAGUGAAAUUGAACUCGCUGUGAAGAUGCAGUGUACCCGCGGCAAGACGGAAAGACCCCGUGAACCUUUACUAUAGCUUGACACUGAACAUUGAGCCUUGAUGUGUAGGAUAGGUGGGAGGCUUUGAAGCGUGGACGCCAGUCUGCGUGGAGCCAUCCUUGAAAUACCACCCUUUAAUGUUUGAUGUUCUAACUCGGCCCCGUGAUCCGGGGUGAGGACAGUGUCUGGUGGGUAGUUUGACUGGGGCGGUCUCCUCCCAAAGAGUAACGGAGGAGCACGAAGGUUAGCUAAUCACGGUCGGACAUCGUGAGGUUAGUGCAAAGGCAUAAGCUAGCUUGACUGCGAGAGUGACGGCUCGAGCAGGUACGAAAGUAGGUCUUAGUGAUCCGGUGGUUCUGAAUGGAAGGGCCAUCGCUCAACGGAUAAAAGGUACUCCGGGGAUAACAGGCUGAUACCGCCCAAGAGUUCAUAUCGACGGCGGUGUUUGGCACCUCGAUGUCGGCUCAUCACAUCCUGGGGCUGAAGUAGGUCCCAAGGGUAUGGCUGUUCGCCAUUUAAAGUGGUACGCGAGCUGGGUUUAGAACGUCGUGAGACAGUUCGGUCCCUAUCUGCCGUGGGCGUUGGAAGAUUGAGAGGGGUUGCUCCUAGUACGAGAGGACCGGAGUGAACGCACCACUGGUGUUCGGGUUGUCAUGCCAAUGGCAUUGCCCGGUAGCUAAGUGCGGAAAAGAUAAGCGCUGAAAGCAUCUAAGCGCGAAACUUGCCUCAAGAUGAGUCUUCCCUGGGCCUUUAAGGCCCCUGAAGGAACGUUUAAGACUAAGACGUUGAUAGGCUGGGUGUGUAAGUGCAGCGAUGCAUUGAGCUAACCAGUACUAAUGAUCCGUGAGGCUUAACCUUACAACACCGAAGGUGUUUUAG